UUGCUUCGAGCGCCAUCUGUGACACGCAAAUAAAAAAAAACAUUUCAGUUAACAGUUAUUUUUCGACAUUGUGAUCUAGUGGCGCUUAUAAUUAGUGAGAGUACAAACUCUUUAAAUACUGACGUGCUGAUAUUGUAAAGCAGUUUUAAUGUCAGCAACAAAUUUCAUUCAAUUUAAUAGGAUAAAUACUGAAACAAAUUUCCGUGUCAAGUCAAAGAAUGUCUUCAAACGCUUCGUUUUUCUCUAAUGUAAGCAAAUUUUGUGAUAAAGUAACAUAUUGUAGUGAUACAUGUUUGUGUAUAACAUAUAGCUUAUGCUUUGUUGUUCCAGGUGUCGUACAGACGAGUCGAGAGAGAUUGAACUGCCGCUUAAUGAAGACGGGAAAGCAUCUAUGGAUGAAAUUCUUUCCACCGUAGCGAUUGAUUGAAAUAAGUUCGGUUUUUACGAUGAUUCGCUGCUCGACCAUUAGUUGAUUUUCAUUAUAUUUGCCCGUCAACGCUUACGUCCAUUUCGGCUUCGGUGUCACUGGCAUCGCAGCCGUCGUAGGUCUGACCAUCGGCUUGGCGCUCUACUUCAACGAUUGCGUCGAACUCGCCUACUACGUCAUCAUUAUCUCAGGGUUCAUAUUGUUGUUAGUAGUGGUUGGAGUCUCGAUUUCAGUGCGGUGUCUGCUUACGAGGCCGCAAGUUUCUGCCAGACAUUCAGGAACUUCACGUUUGAAUUUGGACCCUCCGCCUCCAUACCAGAAAAGUUGGGGCAAGGAAUACUAUCGACAACAAAGCGACGAAGCUAGAAGUUCUCACUCUUCUGACAUAGCUUCCGAAAAUAAUUCAAACCAAAUAUUCCACAUCUCCACCUCAACACUUACCGAAGGAAACAAACCGCAAGACUUUCAACAAGUUUUACAAGAUUUGGAAGCAGGUGAUAAUGAAUUACCGAACUACGAAGAAGCCAUUCGACAGCUUAGUGUUUCUGAACUAGACAAAGUUGCCUAUCAUUCUGAGAAAACCUCAUCGAAUUAUCACUUUUCUCUUACCCCACAUUUUUCCUGGUCACAAACUUUGCAUUUGAACAGUCAAGAACCAGUUUCUUACUCGAGUAACAAUUCUAGUGACAUUAGUGCAGUAGCCUCACAGUCGAUUAGUUUCCCACGCAAAAAUGAUACAAAAUCUUUCAGAAUCAAGUGCCGUUUAGCAGCUGAAAAUUUGACCGCUCCCGUGCAUUGUUCUCGCUCGUGAAAAUGACUUGUAAAUCCUUCCUUCGUUCGAGCUUCAGUAGGGCUUUACAUAUGUAGAAUAGAAGUCUUAAUAUUUAGUUUAUACUUUAUUUGUAUAGGAUUACAAAAAUGCGUUUUUUCAUUGGAGUUAAAUUCAUAGAUGAUUAUAUUGAUAAUAGGCCUCAUUUUUCUGGUACAUAUGUGAAUAUGUUAAUUAUAUUGAAUAAAUC
Hyalella azteca is the source of this 1446-nucleotide RNA transcript. RefSeq lists it as uncharacterized. Lineage: Eukaryota; Metazoa; Arthropoda; Malacostraca; Amphipoda; Hyalellidae. The transcript is spliced from 3 exons. The record is from RefSeq and is a predicted model, not a curated record.